GUGGAGCAUGUGGCUUAAUUUGACUCAACGCGGGAAAUCUUACCGGGCCCGGACACACUGAGGAUUGACAGAUAUACGCUGCGUUAUGUCCUUCGGGACUGCGUGGCUCAAAGAUGCUAGUUCUUUCAUGAUUAUGUGAUAGGUGGUGCAUGGCCGUUCUUAGUUCGUGGAGUGAUCUGUCUGCUUAAUUGCGUAUCAAUAAUAGAGACCUAGUAUACGUGCAUUACUCAUGUGGUAGUGACCCCCUCUUCGCGGAGGCGCGUGUCGCACAUAUGGUAUGCGCACUGGUCUCAGAUAGCAACGAACGUGACCGUAUUCUAUUGUUGCAGUGAAUUAUACGUGCUGCUCUUUACCGAGUUAGUUACAUCCCACUGCUUAGUGUGCGCGGCGUAUUUCGGUACUCGCGUCACACAUUAAACUAUAGAGACCGCUGUUUCUUCUUUAAACCAGAGGAAGGAUAC
Molecule: ribosomal RNA, 461 nt
Filed under: Ammonia sp. T15
Lineage: Eukaryota; Foraminifera; Rotaliida; Rotaliidae
Description: SSU rRNA
Rfam family: Eukaryotic small subunit ribosomal RNA
Source: RNAcentral